UGGGACAAGAGAGGUACCCAAGUUAGUGGUCUCUUCCUAGCUUUACCAGGGACUUGCUGCUGGGCUGCAGGGAGAUGCUUUCUUCUUAAAGGCAUAGAGCCUUUGGUGACAGAGCUAACAAGGAAUUGCAGAAGGGGAGAGCUGGAGGGGACCUUAAAAGGAUUUGAAUUUCUGCAGUUUCAACCCCUUCCCCUUCAAGCUGCUGUGGUUGAAGGUUGUCACUUGCUUCUGCUGCCCACCUCCGUGGAGGAUAGGGUGGUCACCCCCUUCCGCACACCUGGAUUCGCUGCGGAAGGGCUGGGGGACAAGGAUUGCUCGGUCCUCAGAGCUUGCUGAGCACAUCUUUCCAGGUGGAUUUUGGAAGAAGAUGGAGUGUGUCUGGAGGGGGGAAUAGAAGAGGCGCAUCCCCAAGCCUGCGCGUGGCGGGAUGAAGAUGCGAGGGUUUGUGCGUGACUGGGUGCAUUAUAAAUGGAAACGUGUGGCUGUGUGGCCGGCGUGGGCGAGGGGCUGGGCACGCGGGUGAGUGUGAGCCUGUGCCGAGGGGGACAGAUGUGUGUGGGAUGGCUCUGCGUGAAGCUAUAUUAAAAAUAUGAGCAAGGCAGACUCUGGUGCUUCAGAUGCUCAGGCUUUGCUUCAAAGGGGGACGGAGACGGUGCUGGAGGGCAGGGCUGAGCCUGAGACGUCUCAAAUUCAUUUCACUUCUGCCCCCCUCCUGCUUUUGGAAUGGGUCAGCAGGGAUUGCACGUGGGACGGACAGGCUUUCACCCACCCAAUUUGUACGUACAGAGCCUGAACCUGUCCCUGCUUCUGACGGUUGGACUUGAUCUUAAAGGUUUUUUCCAACCUAAACAAUUCUGUGAUUCUAUGCUUACAGCCAUGGUUUUUUUUGGACUGAGCUGCCACUCACGCAGCAGUGAGACCUGUUGUUAAUGUGGGGGACAACCUCAGAGCAACAGCCCCCCCCCCCCAAGAUACCCAGGUGAUGCUCAUAUCAAUGCUCCCAUUUACAGCCUCUGCCAGGUGCUUGGUUCCUCCCCCUGGGUGGAGCUGGUGGGUUUUAAGAAUGGGGCACAGACAAGCUGGGGCUCUUUUUUAAUUUUUUUUUUUUUUAAUUUUUAUUUGUUUUUUUUUUUUUUUUUUUUUUUUCCUGAGACCAUGCUUGGUGGGGGGCAGGUUUGGCACUGCCUGCUGUGAAGCACCCUGUUAAUGGGGGAUGCGACUCUCCGGUGAAGUGGGUGGUAGAGUCAGACUGGUAAGAGGAAAACCCUUUUUGAUGGCUGCGUAGAUUGGGAACUCCUUGCUGGGGGAGU
Molecule: long non-coding RNA, 1310 nt
Organism: Aquila chrysaetos chrysaetos
Lineage: Eukaryota; Metazoa; Chordata; Aves; Accipitriformes; Accipitridae
Exons: 4
Source: RefSeq, a predicted model, not a curated record